Molecule: ribosomal RNA, 251 nt
Filed under: uncultured bacterium
Lineage: Bacteria
Description: partial 16S ribosomal RNA
Rfam family: Bacterial small subunit ribosomal RNA
Source: RNAcentral
ACGUAGGGAGCAAGCGUUAUCCGGAUUUACUGGGUAUAAAGGGCGCGCAGGCGGGCCGGCAAGUUGGAAGUGAAAUCUAUGGGCUUAACCCAUAAACUGCUUUCAAAACUGCUGGUCUUGAGUGAUGGAGAGGCAGGCGGAAUUCCGUGUGUAGCGGUGAAAUGCGUAGAUAUACGGAGGAACACCAGUGGCGAAGGCGGCCUGCUGGACAUUAACUGACGCUGAGGCGCGAAAGCGUGGGGAGCAAACAG